GUACUUGAGGAGGAAGCCCCGGCUAACUACGUGCCAGCAGCCGCGGUAAUACGUAGGGGGCUAGCGUUAUCCGGAAUUACUGGGCGUAAAGGGUGCGUAGGUGGUUUCUUAAGUCAGAGGUGAAAGGCUACGGCUCAACCGUAGUAAGCCUUUGAAACUGGGAAACUUGAGUGCAGGAGAGGAGAGUGGAAUUCCUAGUGUAGCGGUGAAAUGCGUAGAUAUUAGGAGGAACACCAGUUGCGAAGGCGGCUCUCUGGACUGUAACUGACACUGAGGCACGAAAGCGUGGGGAGCAAACAGGAUUAGAUACCCUGGUAGUCCACGCCGUAAACGAUGAGUACUAGCUGUCGGAGGUUACCCCCUUCGGUGGCGCAGCUAACGCAUUAAGUACUCCGCCUGGGAA
Molecule: ribosomal RNA, 403 nt
Filed under: uncultured bacterium
Lineage: Bacteria
Description: bacterial SSU rRNA
Rfam family: Bacterial small subunit ribosomal RNA
Source: RNAcentral